This 757-nucleotide long non-coding RNA is filed under the name Coffea arabica (coffee). RNAcentral describes it as "long non-coding RNA (CARA_LNC004590)". The record is from RNAcentral. Lineage: Eukaryota; Viridiplantae; Streptophyta; Magnoliopsida; Gentianales; Rubiaceae.
GAUAAUAGUAGAAAUUUCUGCUUGGGCCUGUGAUUAAGAGACAUUUACACUGCCCUCUUAUUGACGUUAGAAUGUUCACCAUGUUUAAAUAUUUCAAGUCGAAUAUACUACAUUGACUAUCUGAAUCUCUAUCAAGUAAAAACUCAACAACUUUGUAUGGCUGGAUACCUAAGAUGUCUUUAAAAAGGACGGAGAAGAGCAUCUAAAGAGCAAAAUAAAAUAAAAAAGGAGCAAAAAAAAGAAUGAAAUAUCCAGAGAUCCUAAAUGGAGCCAAUUAAGUAUAAGAUCCCCUUUCUCCAACAUUUAGACUGUUAUUGCCCAUUUUUGGAGCAAACUUCUCAACUAUCUUAAGAAGGGAUGGAUCAUUUCCACUAUCUCUGAACGAAUCUAGUAAAAAGGCAAAAGUAGAUACUUGCAGUGAGAAUCCUCGCUAAAUCCAUUUCUUCAAAAUAAACCACUGCAUCAUCAAUUCACUUGCCUUGAUAAGUCCUUGGACAAUAAUGUUUAAGAUAAACAAUGCAAUUACCAUAUGGUAUGGGCGAUAAACUCAACAUCUUGAUGCUGCCACUGAGCAUGUCCAAUAUAUUAGAGAAGCGUUUUUGGCAUAAUGAAAGAAUAGAAGAUGAUGUCGGCCAGAACUUGAGCAACAAAAGCAGCCCCUCUGCAUCAAUGGCUUCUGAUUAUGCUAACAACUAAGUAAGCUCUUCUAUCUUCUCUCACAAAAUUCAGAAAGGAAAGAGAAUUUUUCGUCCAUAAU